CUGUCAGUAUGGUGAGCACAACGAACGAAAGAUGGGCUUCUUCAAAUUGGAAAGGAAAAGAGCCGAUCUCCGAAAACACGACUACUGAUGCAACACCAGAUGCAGUUUGGUCGGAAAAAUUCAAAGAAUUUGAGGUAUUUUAAAUAUAUUUCAAUAAUUUUGUUGAUUAUCGAACUUAUUUUUGUUUUCAUUUUCAGAACAAGUGUAACGAGAGUCAGAAAGACGUCUCCAAAUACAAAAAAAAGUUCGAUGCAAUGAAAUCUUAUAUGAAGAAACUCAAUAAGACUUUGAAAACUUCCGGACUCGACAUGACGCAUAUGGCUUCCACUUCAAAGUCCACCAUACCGUCUGUAUUCGAAUCAGAUAUUUCGGAUUCUGAUUCAGAAGACUCGAUUUCAGACGAGUGUUGAUUAAACUAUUUUUAUAUUUUCUUAUUCAAACAUCGAAUGUUUACGAUUAUAUAUUUUAGUUUAUUUUCAAUAAAAACAUCGAUUUCAAUUUCAAUUUCAAAAUCGAUUUCUCAAAUAUCGAUUUCUAUUUCAAAAAACAACGAUUCGAAUGCAAAAUAUAGAAUCCCGUUUUAAAAAAAAAAUGAAACAAACAUUGUAUGACGGAUUUCUGCCAUCUAUACUCUUCUACUAAGGUUUAGAUGGCGGAAAUCCGCCAUCUAAUGUUACAAAGAUAGUCGACGGACAUCCGUCAUCAAUAAAAUUAACCGUCAUCAAUGAAUUGACGCCAAACUUUUUCUACACCAUAUAUUUUAGAUGGCGGAUUUCCGUCAUCUAAAAAUUUUCAGUUCCCGCGUAAAUUUUCAGAUUAGAUGACGAAAAUCCGUCAUCUAUACAAUUUUGGGUGGAAAAUGAGGAUGGAUAAUAGAUGACGGUUACGAGGUUUUAAUGCGGUGUCCAAGAUGACGGUCUUUAGAUGGCGGAAAUCCACCAUCUAAAGACCGUCAUACAAUGUAUUAUUUCUUGUAGUGUUUUUUCAAAUGAAAUAUCUCUGAUUAGGGUUCUAUUAAUCUAUUUCUAGUGUAGUACCAAUGUCAAGUGCAACCACCCUCCCUUUGUUCUAAGAGGUUAGUAUUUAUUGACUUUCAUCUACCUUCGGGUCAGGUCGGACCCGGCCGAGAUUGGACUGAACAGACCUGGGAGUGUUUCUGGGUCGCUCCAGUAGAUCGAGGGUAUAAUCAGUACUCUCCUCGAUGGGUCUGGUCUGUUGAUACUCUUGUUGGGUAUGUUGAUACUCUUGUAUAAUUGGAGUAAUCAGUUUUUUUUUUUUGAAACAAUAAGGAAUUAAUUCAAACUGGAUGAUGAUUAGG
This 1318-nucleotide long non-coding RNA is filed under the name Zostera marina. RNAcentral's name for it is "long non-coding RNA (ZMAR_LNC001590)". The record is from RNAcentral. Lineage: Eukaryota; Viridiplantae; Streptophyta; Magnoliopsida; Alismatales; Zosteraceae.